This is a non-coding RNA of Salmo salar (Atlantic salmon), 54 nucleotides long. NCBI's taxonomy places the organism in Eukaryota, Metazoa, Chordata, Actinopteri, Salmoniformes, Salmonidae. The record is from Rfam.
AAUGCACCAAUUUGAAUGUCGCUCUGGAUAAGAGCGUCUGCUAAAUGACGUAAA